AUUGAACGCUGGCGGAAUGCUUUACACAUGCAAGUCGAACGGCAGCACGGGCAACCUGGUGGCGAGUGGCGAACGGGUGAGUAAUACAUCGGAACGUGCCCAAUCGUGGGGAUAACGUAGCGAAAGUUACGCUAAUACCGCAUACGAUCUACGGAUGAAAGCGGGGGAUCGCAAGACCUCGCGCGAGUGGAGCGGCCGAUGUCAGAUUAGGUAGUUGGUGGGGUAAAGGCUCACCAAGCCAACGAUCUGUAGCUGGUCUGAGAGGACGACCAGCCACACUGGAACUGAGACGCGGUCCAGACUCCUA
Molecule: ribosomal RNA, 307 nt
Filed under: uncultured bacterium
Lineage: Bacteria
Description: bacterial SSU rRNA
Rfam family: Bacterial small subunit ribosomal RNA
Source: RNAcentral